RNAcentral lists this ribosomal RNA (377 nucleotides) under uncultured organism. RNAcentral describes it as "bacterial SSU rRNA". It matches the Rfam family "Bacterial small subunit ribosomal RNA", at positions 526 to 896 of the family's 1533-position model. The record is from RNAcentral.
CAGAGGAGCCAAGCGUUGUCCGGAUUGACUGGGCGUAAAGCGCACGCAGGCGGAUGCGCGCGUGGGGUGUGAAAUCUGGCCGCUUAACGGCCAGGCGCCAUCCCAUACGGCGCGUCUGGAGCCUUGCAGAGGUCGGUGGAAUUGCCGGUGUAGUGGUGAAAUGCGUAGAGAUCGGCAGGAACACCCAGGGAGAAACCAGCCGACUGGGCAAGUGCUGACGCUGAGGUGCGAGAGCGUGGGGAGCGAACCGGAUUAGAUACCCGGGUAGUCCACGCCGUAAACGAUGGCCACUCGGCCUUUGGGGGCGGAAUCUCCGUCCGUGGGGGCCUUAGCAAACGCGGGAAGUGGCCCGCCUGGGAACUACGAGCGCAAGCUUA